UCUGGCUAGGACUCUAACCGAGCCGCACCACCUCUCUCCCACGAUGGUUCCUGGGUUUCUCUCUCGACCGUCCUUUUCACUUGCCUUAGCUUGUUUUAGACGCCAACCAAACGAAAUAGCGUCUUUUCAACGCCAAAUUGCCCAACACUAUAAAAACCGUUCCCUUUACUCACAAAAUCUUAGAUCUCAGAUUUCAGAUAUCAAAUCUCAGAUCGUUUCUUACUCUCUUUGAAGAAAUUGUGUUGCGAUGGCUGAUUUUCGUCUCCAAGGUCUUUGUCAAUCUCAAUUCACAGAGAUUGCUGCUGAAAGAGCUAAAGUAGCUGCAGAGGAAUAUUUCAAGUCGGGAAACAUCGACAGAGCUAUUCAGCAAGGGUUCGCAGCACUCGAUUUGAACCCCAAUUUACGGAUCGUGCAGAAGUACAUUGCCGCCUAUUUGAUUCACAAGUUUGCUUCUAUGUUAAGUCUUUGCCAGAAAAUGAAGGUAGACGAUACCAAAGUUCUGUACUCCAUUCUUUUUAUCGAAGAUUGUUCUGCCGUAGUUGAUGCUGCGACUAUUAGAAAACACUACAAGGAAGUGGUACUAUUGGUCCAUCCGGACAAGAAUGAUUCAGUUGCAGCAGAUGGUGCUUUCAAGAUCGUUCGUCAGGCUUGGGAAACUCUCUUAUCUGAUCGCAACAAAAGAAGAAAGACUCGAUGAGGAUGAAGUUUUUUGGUUUGGAUUAGAUUCAUUUUGAUAUGUAUUCAAAUUUUUUAUGAAUAACAUGUAGUUAGUUUUUAUUUUGUUCUGAUUUGGUUACUUUGUUGAGAUUCAAUUUGAUUUUGAUUUUUAGUGUCAGUCCAAUUUCAUAAUUGAUCACAAUUAUGAUUAAGCAUUCCAAGUUAAAAUGCUACCAUCAUCAAUCCAUAAUAUAAUAUACAGAGUAAAUUGAAGCAAAUUAUUUGAAGAAUAUUCUGAUGUGGGUUUUUUAGGCAAUGAACGUUUUCUUUAAGCUUUCAGAUUUUAUUUUGUUAAAAUAAAUUUCUUUGUGUUAUAUAUUUUGUAAGUCUCUUUCGUUAGCUUGAAAUUGAAUUCUGGGUUCAAGAGGUUAUUGUAUUAAGUAACUAUGUGUUUUGCUUGCUUCAGUGUUUGUAUCGGUGCUGCAGUUAUUCACUUUCCUUCUGAUUUGAUACAAUCAAACUAAAAAAAAGAAGGAAAAAAAUUUUUUUUCACAAAAGUUACUAUAAUAUUUUUCUUUUUAUGGGUGAUAGUUUGUUGAUUAUUCAUUAUUUCAGUGUCAAUUCUUUAUUUUUGGCUUAAGUUAAACAGGCAUUGAAAAACCAAUACUUGCUUGCAAAAGAAGAACCAUAUCAGUUCUACGUGCCUUUUGAUUCUUCAAUUGUUAUCAAAUGCUUGCUCAUGUUGUCCAGAUGUUCCCAAAUGAUGUUUCCUUGGGCGAUAUCAUUGACGCUGCAAAGUCUUUCAGGUUUGUUAUUCGGUUUUUCUCACUUAGAGGUUGAAUCACAAUUUAUCAUAUGUUUAUUUUUGCAUAAGUGUGCAUGUGUAGUAGUAUAAGGCUGUUAAAGGGAAUAUAAUUUGUCAGUUUUUAUACAUAGCAAACCCUAAGUGUGAUUUCUUGGAAAAGCAGAAGUCCAAUAAUGGACUAUACACGUUCCUCUUUUAUCAUUACUCAUAUCUUAGCCUAAAUUACUCUUGUUGUUUCUGUGCUAAAAGUAAUGCUGCUAAUAUCUAGUUCUGGCCAACUUUUGCUGAGCUGUUUGCAAUAAUUGUUGUAUACGCAUUUAUGUAAAGGUACAUUUUUUCUUGGGCCUUAAUUCACUUACCAUGUAGUUCUCUCCUGAAUCAUGUUUCUGUCCCAUUUAUAAAUGUUAGGCUAUGAUUUGAAUUGCCUUGUUAAGGAAGCAUUAUCUAUUGAAAUGUUGCUGGCAGCUAUCCUCUAACUUAAGGGUGCAGGAGACACGGUCUUCAUUGGAGUGGUUUGUGGGAAAAGUACAAGACAUGAUUAUCUAAAUACUUUGAGACGAUCUAUAGUGAAGGGUUCAAAUGAAUCAAGGUGAGAGGUUUAAAGAAGCUGAUCAGUUUUGCACUUCAUUGCCUUUGUCAUAUAAAAGUUUUAAUCUCUAUUCACCCACCAAAAAGGAGGAAUAGGAAAGAGAAUUGCAAAAGUGGAAGCUUUUUUACAUUUGCAUAAUGCCUGAUGCAGGCAUACGUUUAAGUACUUAGAGAGAGAUGAGACAAUGGUAGCUCACUUGGUGGGGGAAUUGAUGCAUUCAUAAAGCUGUCUCAAAGUUAGCUGCUAUCAAAAUCUCUAUUCAAUGUUGUAUAUACUUUCUAAAAUUUGAAGUCUAUGUUCCAAAUUCUGAGGAAAUCAUUGGUAGAGAUAUCACCGGGAUCGGAUCUCGGUACAAUAUACAUCUCAACACCUGUGGAGAAAUGUUAGUUAUGUUUCUGUUAGUAGCUUUUGUACUAGUGUAAUUUUUAUUACAAAAAUCAGUCAUGUAGGGUGCCUAGUGAUUUGAUUAUGAUAAUUGAUUUCCACGGUAAGAUGUACAAGUUUGGGUACUCCAGGACCAGAUCUCCAUUGCAGUGAUGUGGAAAGUUCAAGGAAAACGUUGUCAAGGGUCAUAAAUAUUGUGAAAGAAUUAACUCUAGCAUUUGUUUUUAAUUUACACUAGAUCUUCUGUCUGCUCGUGAGUAACGGGUUUUGCUUGUUUUCAUGACUUUUUCUUUAAAUUUAUCAUCACUAUUCACAAUGAUAUAUAUGAAUGAUAAUUAAAGAUAUAUUAAAAGAUAAUGACAAGAAAGUAUUGAGUUGUUCAGCUUUAAUUAUUUGGCACAGGCAAUGAGUCAAUGAGGGCAAAUGCUAUUGGCAGUUGUGUUGUGCUCAACCAUGGAGGAGGUUGCGCGGUAGACAAGAUGCUCAUGGAGUUUGCUUCACCGUCAAUAAUCCAUAUGAUACUUCUAUUUGUUGUUAUCCUCGUUAAUUCAUUUUUAAUUUUAUUAUUAUUUAUCUUUUUAAAAAUUGAUUUUACUAGAAUUCUGAUCAAUUUUGCUUUUCUAAUUUAAAUACUGUCUUUUAUGGUUUCUUUAUGCCUUGUAUAUUGGUGCACAGUAUGAUGCAUUUAACUUGAUAUACAUAAGAUGCACAAUAUGAUACAUUUAAUUUGAUAUUGCAUUACAGGUAGAAGACUUUAGGCAGCAGGGAACUAAGAUGAGAAGAAAGAUGUGGCUUCAGAAUAUGAAGAUAAAAUUGAUUGUUUUGGGUAUCCUUAUUGCCCUGAUUCUUAUCAUUGUGCUGUCAGUCUGCCACGGCUUCAAAUGUUAAUCUGUCUUGGAUUUCCCUCGUACCGCUCUUGCUGCCAGGGAUGUCUUGAUAGAUUGGUUUGUCUUACUUGUUUUUUUAGGGCAUAUAUUUCUCCCUUUGCUUGCGGUUUAGGAUAGGGGGAGGCUUUGUAUCUUGGUUGGCUGUAUAGGUUAUAGUUUGAACUUGUUACGGUAGAUAAAAAUUUCUAUGGAGGAUUUCUUCUUUAUACUGUGAUGGGGGUAUACUCGGAUUCCUGCAUAUCAUAUUUGUCCUUUUGAAAUGUUAUUAAUCUGUUUUUUUGGUUUUUGUCGCUUAUCAUGUAAAUCCUUUUGUAUGCAUUUCUCUUUUAGACGUAAGAGGAGACAGUUGGUUUUGUAAAAUUUUUUAAUGCUUAGGAGCCUAUGGUUGCAUGAGUAGCUCGGUGUCUUUGCCUUCCGCAGAGAAGGUCUUCAGCUCUAAUGAUUAGAGCGAUGUGUAUGAUUGAUUUUCCCCGCUCCCCUUGAAGUCUUGUUUUGAGGAUCUAUUCUUUCUCCAGAGAGAAAUUUGGGGAAUAAGUAAAGAAUUUUGAUGAAGGGUUGUUUUGUCAAAAAAUAAAAAACUAGUUUGACUACGAAACAAAUCGAAUUUUAUACGGUAGUUGGUUCUUUUUCGAUUUUACAUUAUUCCAAUAAAAGGAGUUAGCAUAUUUUUGCUUGAAAACAAUCCAAUUUGAGUUUCUAACCUUAAAUCGAGUUUGAGCAAUGAAAAUUAAUGUCUACAUGAACAGAUUAUAAUAUGUGAACAACUGUAGCAAUGAUGUGUUUUGUGCAUAAUAUGUUGAGAUUAGAUCCCACUAUUAGAAAAACUAAUGUCUAACUCAAAUUUUAACAUUUUGAAAUUCUUUCAAUAUUAAAUACUUGAAAACCUUAUGUCCGUUGUUGGCUGGAUCGUCUUUGUCCCAUUAUCCUCUCUAACCCAUCCUUUUUACGUGUUUUAAAAUUAUAAAUAAUAUAUAUAUAUAUAUUUAUAUAUUGUAAAACAAAAAAAUUAUAAUAAUUAAUAUUUUAUAAAUGAAAAUAAAAGAUUACAAAAGUAAUCUGUUAUAACAAUUAAAUAUCUUUAAUUAUAAUUAUUCUCAAUCAUAAUUUCUUAUUGCAGUCAAUACCCAAUUGAAUUUUGGUUCAAGUAAGAAAGAUAAGAUGCAUUUUGAAUAGAAAUUUUAAAUUCAAAUCAUAGAGAUCAUCACGAAAAAAAGAAAAAAAUAAAAAUUUCGUAUAGUUUACAGAGAAAUCCCAGCAAAGAAUAUGACGUCGUUUAUUUUUAAUCACUUGCAAUGAGUGAAAUGACGUCGUUUCCUUCUUGAAGCUUAUUUCUCUCCUACCACACGGUGUCGUUUUAUCAAGUGAUAAAAGCAUCCCUUGAAACCUCAGCCUGCUUCUUUUUCCCCGCUUGUCUGGCUAGGACUCUUACCGAGCCGCACCACCUCUCUUCCACGAUGGUUCCUGGGUUUCUCUCCCGGCCUUCCGUUCUCGAGCCGCAACUCCUGAUCACUUGCUUUAGCUUACUUUAGACGCUAACCAAACAAGAUAGCUUUUUUUCAACGCCAAAUUGCCCAACACUCUAAAAACCGUUCCCUUAUCUCACAAAUCUUAGAUCUCAGAUUUCAGAUAUCAAAUAUCAGAUCGUUUCUUACUUUCCUUGAAGAAAUUGUGUUGUGAUGGCCGAUUUUCGUCUUCAAGGUAUUUGUCAAUCUCAAUUCACAGAGAUUGCUGCUGAAAGAGCUAAAGUAGCUGCGGAAGAAUAUUUCAAGUUGGGAAACAUCGACAGGGCUAUUCAGCAAGGGUUCGCAGCACUCGAUUUGAACCCCAAUUUACGGAUCGUGCAGAAGUACAUUGCCGCCUAUUUGAUUCACAAGUUUGCUUCUAUGUUAAGUCUUUGCCAGAAAAUGAAGGUAGACGAUACCAAAGUUCUGUACUCCAUUCUUUUUAUCGAAGAUUGUUCUGCCGUAGUUGAUGCUGCGACUAUUAGAAAACACUACAAAGAAGUGGUACUAUUGGUCCAUCCGGACAAGAAUGAUUCAGUUGCAGCAGAUGGUGCUUUCAAGAUCGUUCGUCAGGCUUGGGAAACUCUCUUAUCUGAUCACAACAAAAGAAGAAAGACUCUACGAAGAUGAAGUUCUUUGGUUUGGAUUAGAUUCAUUUUGAUAUGUAUUCAAAUUUUUUAUGAAUAAUAUGUAGUUAGUUUUUAUUUUGUUCUGAUUUUGUUACUUUUCUUAGAUUCAAUUUGAUUUGAUUUUUAGUGUCAGUCCAAUUUCAUAAUUAAUCACAAUUAUGAUUAAGCAUUCCAAGUUAAAAUGCUACCAUCAUCAAUCCAUAAUAUAAUAUACAGAGUAAAUUGAAGCAAAUUAUUUGAAGAACAUUCUGAUGUGGAUUUUUUAGGCAAUGAACAUUUUUUUAAGUUUUUAGAAUUUUUUUGGUUAAUUUUGUUAAAAUAAAUUGCUUUGUGUUAUAUAUUUUGUAAGUCUUUUUUGUUAGUUUGAAAUUGAAUUCUGGGUUCAAUAUGUUAUUGUAUUAAGAAACUAUGUGUUUUGCUUGCUUUAGUGUUUGUAUCGGUGCUGCAGUUGUUCACUUUCCAUACAAUCAAAUUAAAAAAAAAAGGGAAAAAAAUCAAAAUUUUCACAAAAGUUACCGUAAUAUAUUUCUUUUUAGGGGUGAUAGUUUGUUGAUUAUUCAUUAUUUCAAUGUCAAUUCUUUUUUUUUUUGGCUCAAGUUAAACAGGCAUUGAAAAACCAAUACUUGCUUGCAAAAGAAGAACCAUAUUGGUUCUAUGUGUCUUUUGAUUCUUCAAUUGUUAUCAAUUGCUUGCUCAUUUGUCCAGAUGUUCCCAAAUGAUGUUUACUUAGGCGAAAUCAUUGAUGCUGUAAAGUCUUUCAGGUUUGUUAUUCGGUUUUUCUCACUCAGAGGUUGAAUCACAAUUUAUCAUAUGUUUAUUUUGGCAUAAGUGUGCAUGUGUAGUGGUAAUAAGGCUGCUAAAGGGAAUAUAAUUUGUCAGUUUUUAUACAUAGCAAACCCUAAGUGUGAUUUCCUGGAAAAGCAGAAGUCCAAGAAUGGACUAUACACUUUCCUCUUUAUCUUUACUCAUAUCUUAGUGUUUUACUUUCCAAAAUGAAAGUUACCUCCAUCUCAACCUUACUGCUAUCUGCCCUAAAGACAACCUUACAUCCCAUUCAUAUCCAUUUAUUCAUCAAUUUAUGGUCGCAUCACAUGAUUUAUCUAUUAGCAACCAAUAUUCUUCUUUCAGACUUUCAGUCAAAGUUCUUAUUGACAGGAAGAGGUUUAACCUGAAACAGCAACCUGCCUGGCCUUCUUUUGGCUCAUUUGAACCUUUAACCUGUUUUCCUGGGCAGUCACCAUUGAUUAUAAGCCUAAAUUACUCUUGUUGUUUCUGUGCUAAAAGUAAUGCUGCUAAUGUCUAGUUCUGGCCAACUUUUGCUGAGCUGUUUGCAAUAAUUGUCGUAUACACAUUUAUGUAAAGGUACAUUUUUUCUUGGGCCUUAAUUCGCAUACCACGUAGUUCUCUCCUGAAUCAUUUUUUUGUCCCAUUUGUAAAUGUUAGGCUAUGAUUUGAAUUGCCUUGUUAAGGAGGCAUUAUCUAUUGAAAUGUUGCUGGCAGCUAUCCUCUAACUUAAGGGUGCAGGAGACACGGUCUUCAUUGGAGUGGUUGUGUUGGUUUAUCUGAAUCUUUACUGCAUAAGUGUCUGGUGAAAUGAAUCAAUAAAAAGAAGCAAAAUCAUUAAGGGGAUUUUUAGUGUGAAUGUGUAACUUAGGGGUGAUAAUGUUUUAUUUUUUCCUGUUUAAAUGAGAUGAUAAUGUUUUAUUUGAAUGUAUAUAGCAUGAAUCAGAAAAGUUGCGAUAAUGAGGGAUAUUGUAUCGUUUGAGGGUGGUGGUUGUCGGUUAUUUUGAUAGACAAAUGGAGGUAAUAUUUGGAUUCGGGUGCAUUAAUGAGAUGACUCUAAAAAUUAUGAGGUUAAUGUAGCAUAAGGUUCACAUAAUUUAUAAUGCCAUAAUCAUAAAUAAGCCCUUCACAUGUGAUAAAAUCCUCACUUAAGCCCUUAUUGUUUUGUUUGCGUCAAUUGAGUCCCCAACCUAUUAUUUUGAUGUCAAAUGAAUCCAAUUUGAAUGGGAAAUGCUGACAUCGCUAAAGGUGUGACUUAUUCCAACAUACAUGAGUUAAUUGGGGACAUUUGAAAUGUCAGCAUUUCCAUCUAAAUUGGAUUCAGUUGACACCAAAUGAUAGGUUGAUGGCUCGAUUGACACAAAUAAAAUAAUAAAGGCUUAAGUGAGAAUUUUACCAUAAUUUGAGAGCUUAUUUUGUUAUUAUGCCAUUUAUAAUUUACGAGAAGCAUUCUUGUCUGAAGUAUGUUUCAUUUUAAUUGUUACUUCUAUGCUUUUCCCUUUUCUCUUUUCCUUAGCUAGCCGCAUUUCAUGUUGAUUUUUUCCGGCCCUCCCAAAAGUCAAUGUCUGUUUGAUGUUUCCAUUCCUGCAUCUAUAUGUGCUUUGGAUCUGGAUUGGUUCCAAGGACCAUGCAUGGAAGUUAGUUCUAUGCUGAUGUUACCAAAUGAAUGCUUAAUAUGUAGUAAAGAAUGAUGUUGAAAAGCAAAAGGAUCUUGUGAAGACGUAACUAGUAUCAAACAUGGUAAACUGAGCAGCACCUGCCGACACAUUGUUAGUUACGUGUUUUGUCAAGGACCUCACCCUCUAAUCAUACCCAUGGAUGAGGCAUAUCCAGGUCACUGUCUGAUUGAUCAAUUGCAGCUGGCUGCUGCUUUUUAGCUUCUCUGUGGGUGCAUGUGUUAACAAGUGUGUGCAUAUUGAUGUUAGUUUUAAAGCUGUCGAUGAUAUGCAUAAUGGAUUACAUUUAGAAAAGAAAACGGAGAGAAGGUUAUUUUUUUUAUCUAAGCAUGUUGGUUUUGAUCAUAGAUCUGGAUGCUGACUUCUGGUUUGAAUUUGUUGAAUGUGGCUUUAGUAGGAAAUGAAUGCUUAUUGCCGUAAAUCCUGAUUUCUUUAAUUGUUCUCAUACUCAUUUUGUCAAAUACAUUUGGUGCUGCAGCCUACUGUGUAGUAGCAGUUGAAUCUGCUGGCAGGCAAGUUCCAAUUGCAUUUCUGGAACGAGUCAAGGAAGACUUCAACGAGACAUAUGGUGGAGGAAAAGCUGCAACUGCUCCCCCGGAUAGCGUGAAUAGAGAAUUUGGGUAUUUAACUGUCUUUAUUUUUCUCGUAGAUUUAUUGUUCACUUCUUCGUGACAUGCUUAGCUCUUUAUACAUAAUAGGUCCAAAUUGAAGGAGCAUAUGCAGUAUUGUGUGGACCAUCCUGAAGAGAUCAGCAAACUUGCCAAAGUGAAGGCUCAAGUUUCUGAAGUCAAGGGUGUUAUGAUAGAAAACAUUGAGAAGGUAAUAGGCUGCUGCUGAUGUUGUAGCUGUUCUAGAGGUAGUUUGAGGGUUAAAACAUGAUAAGAUGCACAUCCAGCUUCUGCAAGUUGCUAGACGCGUUAUAAAAUUGAAAGCACUUCAGAUAUAUUGCAUGUGGUGUGUUGUUUUGUUAGUAACAUUUGGCUUUGGCCAGGUCCUUGAUCGUGGUGAGAAAAUUGAGUUGCUGGUGGAUAAAACGGAGAACCUUCGCUCACAGGUUAGUCAUAUUCAAACUGCAUUUUAUGGGUAACUGAAACAAUGACUUAAUUGUGUUUUGGUGAAGCCAUUGCCUUUCAAAGUUGGUUUUAAAACUUAUUAGGAUUCUGAUCAAUUUCGGUUUUCUAAUUUAAAUACCGUCUUUUAUGGUUUCUUGAUGCCUUGUAUAUUGGCGCACAGUAUGAUGCAUUUAACUUGAUAUACGUAAGAUGCAGAAUAUGAUACAUUUAAUUUGAUAUUGCAUUACAGGCGCAAGACUUUAGGCAGCAGGGAACUAAGAUGAGACGAAAGAUGUGGCUUCAGAAUAUGAAGAUAAAAUUGAUUGUUUUGGGUAUCCUUAUUGCUCGAUUCUUAUCAUUGUGCUGUCAGUCUGCCAUGGCUUUAAAUGUUAAUCUGUCCUGGAUUUCCCGGGUACAGCUCUUGCUGCCCGGGUUGUCUUGAUAGAUUGGUUUGUCUUACAUGUUUUUGAAGGGCAUAUAUUUCUCCCUUUGCUAGCCUUUUAGGAUAGGGGGAGGCUUUGUAUCUUGGUUGGCUGUAUAGGUUAUAGUUUGAACUUGUUGCGGUAGAUAAAAAUUUCUACGGAGGAUUUCUUCUUUAUAUUGUAAUGGGGGAAUACUCGGAUGCCUGCAUAAUGUUAUUAAUCUGUUUUUUUUUUUUCUCUCUCUCUUAUCAUGUAAAUCCUUUUAUAUGCUUUUCUUUAGAGGUAAGUGGACACAGUUGGUUUUGUUAAAUUUUUUAAUGCUUUGGAGCCUAUGGUUGCAUGAGUAGCUCGGUGUCUUUACCGUCCGCAUGGAAGGUCUUUAGCUCUAAUGAUUAGAGAGAUGUGUAUGAUUGAUUUUCCCCCGCUUACUUUGAAGUCUUGUUUUGAGGAUCUAUUCUUUCUCCAUAGAGAAAUUUGGGGAAUAAGUAAAGAAUGUUGAUGAGGGGUUGUUUUGUUAAAAAAAAGAAAAAAGUUUGUUAAAAAAUUAGUUUUACUAUAAAAACAAAUCGAAUUUUAUUUGACAAUUGGUUCCCUUUCGAUUUUACAUUAUUCAAAUAAAAAGAGUUAGAUUAUUUUUGCUUGAAAACGACUCAAUUUGUGUUUCUAAUGAUACAAACUAUUAAGAACAGUGUAAAUCGAGUUUGAGUAAUGGAAACUAAUGUCCAUAGAACAGAUUAUAAUAUAUAAAAAAUUGUAGCAAUGAUGUGAAGUAGAAGCACUACUGUCUUCGCGGUUUUGUACAUAAUAUGCUAAGAUUAGAUGCCACAAUUGAAAAAAUUAAGGCUUAAUACAAAUUUUAACAUUUUUGAAUUUUUUCAAUAUUAAAUAUCUAAAAACCUGAUGCCUGUUGUUGGCUGGAGCAUCCUUGUCCCAUUAUCUCUUUGACCCACCUGUUUACGUGCUUAAAAUAUAUAUAUAUAUAUAUAUAUAUUAUAUAACAAAGUAAUUUUUUGUAAUUGAUAUUUUAUAAAUAAAAAUAAAAGAUUACAGAAGUAGUUAGGUACAAUAAUUAAAUACUUUUAAUUAUAAUUAUUCUCAAUCAUAAUUUCUUAUUGCAAUCAACACCAAUUUGAAUUUUGGUUCAAAUAAGAAAGAUAAGAUGCAUUUUGAGUAGAAAUUUUAAAUUCAAAUCAUAGAGUUCAUAAAGAGAAAAAGAAAAAAUAAAAAUUUCGUAUAAUUUACAGAGAAAAUGACGUGGUUUAUUGUCAAUGGCUUGAAAUGAGUUACAUGACGUCGUUUCCUUCUUAAUGCUUAUUUCUCUCCCCUCACACGGUGUCGUUUUACCAAGCAAUAAAUGCAUCCCGUGAAACCCUGGCCUGUUUCUUUUUCUUCCUUGUCUGGCUAGGACUCUAACCGAGCCGCACCACAUCUCUUCCACGAUGGUUCCUGGGUUUCUCUCUCGACCGUCCUUUUCACUUGCCUUAGCUUGUUUUAGACGCCAACCAAACGAAAUAGCGUCUUUUCAACGCCAAAUUGCCCAACACUAUAAAAACCGUUCCCUUAUCUCACAAAUCUUAGAUCUCAGAUUUCAGAUAUCAAAUCUCGGAUCGUUUCUUACUCUCUUUGAAGAAAUUGUGUUGCGAUGGCUGAUUUUCGUCUUCAAGGUAUUUUUCAAUCUCAAUUCACAGAGAUUGCUGCUGAAAGAGCUAAAGUAGCUGCAGAGGAAUACUUCAAGUCGGGAAACAUCGACAGGGCUAUUCAGCAAGGGUUCGCAGCACUCGAUUUGAACCCCAAUUUACGGAUCGUGCAGAAGUACAUUGCCGCCUAUUUGAUUCACAAGUUUGCUUCUAUGUUAAGUCUUUGCCAGAAAAUGAAGGUAGACGAUACCAAAGUUCUGUACUCCAUUCUUUUUAUCGAAGAUUGUUCUGCCGUAGUUGAUGCUGCGACUAUUAGAAAACACUACAAGGAAGUGGUACUAUUGGUCCAUCCGGACAAGAAUGAUUCAGUUGCAGCAGAUGGUGCUUUCAAGAUCGUUCGUCAGGCUUGGGAAACUCUCUUAUCUGAUCACAACAAAAGAAGAAAGACUCGAUGAAGAUGAAGUUUUUUGGUUUGGAUUAGAUUCAUUUUGAAUGUAUUCAAAUUUUUUUAUGAAUAAUAUGUAGUUACUUUUUAUUUUGUUCUGAUUUUGUUACUUUUUUUAGAUUCAAUUUGAUUUUGAUUUUUAGUGUCAGUCCAAUUUCAUAAUUGAUCACAAUUAUGAUUAAGCAUUCCAAGUUAAAAUGCUACCAUCAUCAAUCCAUAAUAUAAUAUACAGAGUAAAUUGAAGCAAAUUAUUUGAAGAAUAUUCUGAUGUG
This 11740-nucleotide long non-coding RNA is filed under the name Theobroma cacao (cacao). RNAcentral's name for it is "long non-coding RNA (TCAC_LNC002723)". Lineage: Eukaryota; Viridiplantae; Streptophyta; Magnoliopsida; Malvales; Malvaceae. The record is from RNAcentral.